Long non-coding RNA from Panicum hallii, 1939 nucleotides. RefSeq lists it as uncharacterized. The transcript has 3 exons. Lineage: Eukaryota; Viridiplantae; Streptophyta; Magnoliopsida; Poales; Poaceae. The record is from RefSeq and is a predicted model, not a curated record.
CCCGUUUAGAUUUGCUGCAGCCCCCAUCUGGCAUCUCCUCACUAUCGUAUCCAAUGGCGAAGGGCUCCGUCAGCCGCCCGCCUCCCGAAUCCUCCGCACGCGCCCUACGCCGCCGGCUUGCCGGGGUCCCGCGCACCGCGGCGCGCACUCCCUCCACGGCCACCAGCCAGCCAGGCGCGCACUCCCUCCUCGGCCACCAGCCAGCCAAGCGGGCAGGCAGCAGCCAGCACCGCACGCGCCGCCGGCUCGCCGCGCCGUGCCGCGCCCUAAUGUUCUGAUAUGUUUUUCUUUGCUUAUGCUGCUCCUUGUACAGGCUCCUUUUUUAGUACCAUGAGACUGCUCCAGCCACACUUGCAGAGUCAACACCAACCUCAGAUGAUACUAACACGUGUUGUGCAACAUGUAAAGUUUAUUCUCAGAUUCAUUCUUGUGAUAUGUUGUUGUUUGCCUUUGCUGGUAAAAGUUUUAUAAUUUCAGCAGAUAAAGUUGUAUCUAAAUUUAUUCUAAAUCUUUGUCAGUGCUAAGAAGAACUUAAGAAAACGUCCACUGUAUAGGGUGCUUCUUUGCAUGUGCAAAGAAAAGUUUCAAAAGACUUCAUCUAGAUAUUUUGGUCAUUAUGAAAGUGAAAGGAAAGCAACACCUUUUUUUUUGAAACGAGGAAAACAACAUCUUGACAUGUACAUAAAAUGGAGAUAUGUUCGGAUUUAUCCAUGUAUAUGCUGAUGGUCAUCAUGAAAAUGAAAGGAAACACCAAAUUUAGAUUGAUAACAGCAAUGCCAUUAUAAUUGUAGAUGAUGACCUUGCUAUGUUUGAGACUUAGGGGAUAAAUUAAUGGUUGGAGAACAAUUAUGCCUAAAUAUGAAAAAUUGAUGUGACUGAAUCUUUAGUUGGCUUAUGGCCUUAUUCAUCAGCCUGCCGUCAGUAAUGCUAUUGGAAGGAAUUGGGUUUAGGUAACCACGUACUUCAUAACUUAUAGGUUUUACUGCUGCUGCUGUUGUCUCGUAGUAUUUGAGAAAGCUGUGACAAGUAUUUCAACUAUUCUGAAAUGAGCUAUAUCUAUGUUGGUUAGCUAUCUCUAUCUCCAACUUCACAUAAGCACACAGAUAACCUGUCAAAGGAGGAUUUUCAAAUAUUUUUCGAAAGAAGAAAGUUUAGUAGGUUUUCGAAGACGUUGUCAACUCCUCAUAUUAUGAUUUUUUUGACAAUUAUUCCUAUUCAUGCUAAUGCUAGAAUUGGCUUGGCAAGUGACGAUUUGAAGAACACAAUAGAGAGAAGACAUUGGGUGGUGCUAGAGUCGCCCUUUCAUCCCUAAGCUAGAUGGUUGCUCUUGCAUACAACGCUGUAGCUUUGGUACAAGCUAAGUCUACAGAGAUAGCAAGGACCUCUGAUUGAUACUCAGGAAAAAACAUUGAUAGCGGGAGCAUAUCUAAAUUCAAUGAGUUUUAUAUGGAAAAUAAUUUGAAAAAAAAUUUGAACCAGUUAUUGCUGAGUUCUUCGUGUGAGCACAAUGGGCCUACUACAGUAACCUGCAUCGGUGUGUUCAUUUUAAAGUAUUAACUAGAGUGCUUAUGCUUUUAAAAGUUAUAUCUGUACGAUUUCCUAUGCAUCAAUUUGUGCCAUUUGUAUUUCAGAAACUUCAUGCUUACUAUAGGUUGCUGAGUGCUCAUUUCUAUAUUAGUUAAGAUCAUAAUAAGGGGCGCAAAGCGCGCUGAAUGUUCUAGUUAAAACCAAUGGCAAUGAAAGGAAUUUAUAUUUUUCAUUGCAUAGAACAGACAUGUAUAAAUUCUAAUAGCAUAUAGGGAAUUUUCUCUUUUGUAAGUGUUGGUAUUUAUUACGAUAAUUUGCGAAUGUACAAAUACCAUUGUACCUUUCACCUAGAAGUAUUCUAGGGUAUUGUAUUUCACUGAAAAAUAUGAGUAUAUUAUUUAAGGUUCAGAUU